ACUUAAAUUGAAGAGUUUGAUCAUGGCUCAGAUUGAACGCUGGCGGCAGGCCUAACACAUGCAAGUCGAGCGGUAACACAGGGAGCUUGCUCCCGGGUGACGAGCGGCGGACGGGUGAGUAAUGUCUGGGAAACUGCCUGAUGGAGGGGGAUAACUACUGGAAACGGUAGCUAAUACCGCAUAACGUCGCAAGACCAAAGAGGGGGACCUUCGGGCCUCUUGCCAUCAGAUGUGCCCAGAUGGGAUUAGCUAGUAGGUGGGGUAACGGCUCACCUAGGCGACGAUCCCUAGCUGGUCUGAGAGGAUGACCAGCCACACUGGAACUGAGACACGGUCCAGACUCCUACGGGAGGCAGCAGUGGGGAAUAUUGCACAAUGGGCGCAAGCCUGAUGCAGCCAUGCCGCGUGUAUGAAGAAGGCCUUCGGGUUGUAAAGUACUUUCAGCGGGGAGGAAGGUGUUGAGGUUAAUAACCUCAGCAAUUGACGUUACCCGCAGAAGAAGCACCGGCUAACUCCGUGCCAGCAGCCGCGGUAAUACGGAGGGUGCAAGCGUUAAUCGGAAUUACUGGGCGUAAAGCGCACGCAGGCGGUCUGUCAAGUCGGAUGUGAAAUCCCCGGGCUCAACCUGGGAACUGCAUUCGAAACUGGCAGGCUAGAGUCUUGUAGAGGGGGGUAGAAUUCCAGGUGUAGCGGUGAAAUGCGUAGAGAUCUGGAGGAAUACCGGUGGCGAAGGCGGCCCCCUGGACAAAGACUGACGCUCAGGUGCGAAAGCGUGGGGAGCAAACAGGAUUAGAUACCCUGGUAGUCCACGCCGUAAACGAUGUCGACUUGGAGGUUGUGCCCUUGAGGCGUGGCUUCCGGAGCUAACGCGUUAAGUCGACCGCCUGGGGAGUACGGCCGCAAGGUUAAAACUCAAAUGAAUUGACGGGGGCCCGCACAAGCGGUGGAGCAUGUGGUUUAAUUCGAUGCAACGCGAAGAACCUUACCUACUCUUGACAUCCAGAGAACUUUCCAGAGAUGGAUUGGUGCCUUCGGGAACUCUGAGACAGGUGCUGCAUGGCUGUCGUCAGCUCGUGUUGUGAAAUGUUGGGUUAAGUCCCGCAACGAGCGCAACCCUUAUCCUUUGUUGCCAGCGGUCCGGCCGGGAACUCAAAGGAGACUGCCAGUGAUAAACUGGAGGAAGGUGGGGAUGACGUCAAGUCAUCAUGGCCCUUACGAGUAGGGCUACACACGUGCUACAAUGGCGCAUACAAAGAGAAGCGACCUCGCGAGAGCAAGCGGACCUCAUAAAGUGCGUCGUAGUCCGGAUUGGAGUCUGCAACUCGACUCCAUGAAGUCGGAAUCGCUAGUAAUCGUAGAUCAGAAUGCUACGGUGAAUACGUUCCCGGGCCUUGUACACACCGCCCGUCACACCAUGGGAGUGGGUUGCAAAAGAAGUAGGUAGCUUAACCUUCGGGAGGGCGCUUACCACUUUGUGAUUCAUGACUGGGGUGAAGUCGUAACAAGGUAACCGUAGGGGAACCUGCGGUUGGAUCACCUCCUUACCUUAAAGAA
Molecule: ribosomal RNA, 1554 nt
Filed under: Enterobacter cloacae
Lineage: Bacteria; Pseudomonadati; Pseudomonadota; Gammaproteobacteria; Enterobacterales; Enterobacteriaceae
Description: bacterial SSU rRNA
Rfam family: Bacterial small subunit ribosomal RNA
Source: RNAcentral